This 954-nucleotide ribosomal RNA is filed under the name uncultured organism. Its description in RNAcentral is "bacterial SSU rRNA". It matches the Rfam family "Bacterial small subunit ribosomal RNA", at positions 465 to 1417 of the family's 1533-position model. The record is from RNAcentral.
GGGGUUGACGGUACCCUACUAGAAAGGAGCCGCUAACUUCGUGCCAGAAGCGUCGGUAAUACGGGGGCUCCAAGCGUUAUCCGGUGUUAUUGGGCGUAAAGAGUCGUGUAGGUGGUUGGGUAAGUUAUCUUUCAAAUAUCUUUGCUUAACAAAGAGGAGGGGGAUAAUACUGCUCGACUAGAAUUUUCUCAAGGGAGAUCGGAACUGAGGGAGGAGUAGUGAAAUGCGUUGAUACCCUCGGGAACACCAGUGGCGUAGGCGGAUCUCUGGGAGAAGAUUGACACUGAGACACGAAAGCUAGGGGAGCGAAGCAGAUUAGAGACCUGCGUAGUCCUAGCCGUAAACGCAUGCUUGCUAGCUGCAUGAAUCUACCUUCGGGUGGUAUCGUGUGGCGAAGGUAACCCGUUAAGCAAGCCGCCUGGAAAGUACGGCCGCAAGGCUGAAAUUCAAAGGAAUUGGCGGGGAGGCACACAACCAGUGGAACAUGUGGUUUAAUUCGAGACUAACCGAAGAACCUCACCAGGGUUUGACAUGUAGCUGCACGUCUUAAGAAAUUAAGACUCUCUUGAAGGUGCUACACAGGUGCUGCAUGGCUGUCGUCAGCUCGUUCCGUGAGGAGUGCCCUUAAGUGGGACAACGAGCGCAACCCCUAUUACAUGUUAGAAAUGUCAUGUAAGACUGCCUUGCCAUUUGGCGGGGAGGAAGGAGGGGCAGACGUCAAGUCCGCAUGGUCCUUAUGCCCUGGGCUACACACAUGUUACAAUGAGUACGGCAAUGAGUCUGUCGCGAGCACGUAAGUGUAAGCUAAUCUCUUAAAUGUACUCUCAGUGGGGAUUGAGGUCUGCAACUCGACCUCAUGAACACGGAAUUGGUAGUAAUCGCGGGUCAGCUAUACCGCGGUGAUACGUUCUUGCCUCUUGCACACACCGCCCGUCAAACCAGCAAAGUCGAUUG